GAUUGUCACCUAUACCUGCCCUCUCGACAAUCGCGGCUG
This 39-nucleotide non-coding RNA is filed under the name unclassified sequences. RNAcentral's name for it is "S4-Bacteroidia ribosomal protein leader". It matches the Rfam family "S4-Bacteroidia ribosomal protein leader". The record is from RNAcentral.